RNAcentral lists this ribosomal RNA (203 nucleotides) under uncultured bacterium. RNAcentral's name for it is "partial 16S ribosomal RNA". It matches the Rfam family "Bacterial small subunit ribosomal RNA", at positions 524 to 718 of the family's 1533-position model. The record is from RNAcentral.
UACGGAGGGUGCAAGCGUUAUCCGGAUUCACUUGGGUUUAAAGGGUAGCGUAGGAGGGCAGGUUAAGUCAGUGGUGAAAUCCUGGGGCUUAACCCCACGACUGCCGUUGACUUACUAAUCGGGUCUUGAAUGUCGUGGAGGUGAGCGGAAUAUGUCAGUGUAGCGGUGAAUGCUUAGAUAAUGACAUAGAACACCAAUUGCGA